This 418-nucleotide ribosomal RNA is filed under the name uncultured bacterium. Its description in RNAcentral is "bacterial SSU rRNA". It matches the Rfam family "Bacterial small subunit ribosomal RNA", at positions 30 to 447 of the family's 1533-position model. The record is from RNAcentral.
AUUGAACGCUGGCGGCAUGCUUUACACAUGCAAGUCGAACGGCAGCACGGGGGCAACCCUGGUGGCGAGUGGCGAACGGGUGAGUAAUAUAUCGGAACGUACCCGGAAAUGGGGGAUAACGUAGCGAAAGUUACGCUAAUACCGCAUAUGCCCUAAGGGGGAAAGCGGGGGACUCGCAAGAACCUCGCGUUUUCGGAGCGGCCGAUAUCGGAUUAGCUAGUAGGUGAGGUAAAGGCUCACCUAGGCGACGAUCCGUAGCUGGUCUGAGAGGACGACCAGCCACACUGGAACUGAGACACGGUCCAGACUCCUACGGGAGGCAGCAGUGGGGAAUUUUGGACAAUGGGCGCAAGCCUGAUCCAGCCAUGCCGCGUGAGUGAAGAAGGCCUCGGUUGUAAGACGUCUUUCUAGCCGGAAG